RNAcentral lists this ribosomal RNA (301 nucleotides) under uncultured bacterium. RNAcentral describes it as "partial 16S ribosomal RNA". It matches the Rfam family "Bacterial small subunit ribosomal RNA", at positions 509 to 807 of the family's 1533-position model. The record is from RNAcentral.
CAGUAGCCGCGGUAAUACGGAGGGGGCUAGCGUUGUUCGGAAUUACUGGGCGUAAAGCGCACGUAGGCGGCUUUGUAAGUUAGAGGUGAAAGCCCGGAGCUCAACUCCGGAAUUGCCUUUAAGACUGCAGAGCUAGCAGGUGAGAGAGGAGAGUGGAAUUCCACGUGUAGCGGUGAAAUGCGUUGAGAUCGGAAAGAACACCAACGGCGAAAGCACUCUGCUGGGCCGACACUGACACUGAGAGACGAAAGCUAGAGGAGCAAAUGGGAUUAGAGACCCCCGUAGUCCCUGUCUCUUAUAC